Molecule: ribosomal RNA, 306 nt
Filed under: uncultured bacterium
Lineage: Bacteria
Description: partial 16S ribosomal RNA
Rfam family: Bacterial small subunit ribosomal RNA
Source: RNAcentral
GACAGCAGUCGCCACGGUAAUACGUAGGUGGCAAGCGUUGUCCGGAAUUACUGGGCGUAAAGGGCUCGCAGGCGGUUUCUUGAGUCUGAUGUGAAAGCCCCCGGCUCAACCGGGGAGGGUCAUUGGAAACUGGGAAACUUGAGUGCAGAAGAGGAGAGUGGAAUUCCACGUGUAGCGGUGAAAUGCGUAGAGAUGUGGAGGAACACCAGUGGCGAAGGCGACUCUCUGGUCUGUAACUGACGCUGAGGAGCGAAAGCGUGGGGAGCGAACAGGAUUAGAUACCCGCGUAGUCCCUGUCUCUUAUAC